RNAcentral lists this transfer RNA (74 nucleotides) under Salmonella phage PVPSE1. RNAcentral's name for it is "Salmonella phage PVP-SE1 tRNA". It matches the Rfam family "tRNA". From Rfam's summary of the family: Transfer RNA (tRNA) molecules are approximately 80 nucleotides in length. Their secondary structure includes four short double-helical elements and three loops (D, anti-codon, and T loops). Lineage: Duplodnaviria; Heunggongvirae; Uroviricota; Caudoviricetes. RNAcentral also lists the same sequence under 4 other names. The record is from Rfam by way of RNAcentral.
GGGCGAUUGAUGGAAUUGGUAUACGUGCCGUCCUUAGAAGUCGGAUUUUGGGGGUUCGAGUCCCCUGUCGCCCA